Vitis riparia (riverbank grape) is the source of this 3031-nucleotide RNA transcript. RefSeq lists it as uncharacterized. The transcript has 5 exons. NCBI's taxonomy places the organism in Eukaryota, Viridiplantae, Streptophyta, Magnoliopsida, Vitales, Vitaceae. The record is from RefSeq and is a predicted model, not a curated record.
UAUUGCAUUAAAACAGUGUUUUCAUUGCGAGAUCUUCUCCGCUGUCAGAAUCCCCAAUCGCCGUCGUAUUGAGGCGUCUGCUCGCUGCUACUCAACUCUCUCUAGCUCUCGCCCUUUUGCGCUCGUCGAUUUGGCAACAAUAGAAGUAGAAACAGAAAAUUCACAGAAAAGCAAUCUGCUUUCUAGCAGCAAAAACUUAAAAGCGGAAAAGCAGUUUUGUUUUGGUCCAUGAUUCUGUGGUAUUUGUUUUAUUGAAGCUGCUCCAUUCACUUCUGCUUCUUCUUCGCCGUCAUACAUAGAGAACGGGUUUGUGUUUCGUGAGUGUUGAAGAAAUUUUAUGACCAGAAGUUCUAGGAGGAAUUAACUUGAUGCUCUAUGAUUACUGAGUAGUUAUUUAUCUGAACAUGGAUAAAGUAUCACCAGACUGUCCAUACCCAGGAUGCUUCUUCUGUGUCAUGAAGGAAGGCAAUCCAAGUAAACGCAGGGCAAGUAUAUUGAAAUUCUUUAGAGAACUUCCUUCACAGGAUGAUGAUGGUCAAGUCCUCCCUAUCAGUGGCCUCUGGAAUACUGCUAUGGCACAUCCCAAUGACCCUGAGUUUAUUGAGUUGGGCAUAUUUGAAUGCAUGGCUGCACUAAUUUGGAAGGGUCUAAAGAAUCGGCGCUGGCUCUCUCAUGACCAAAACAUAUAUAUUCCUUAUUAUGCAGCACAUAUUAUUGGAUCCUACACCAUGAACAUGGAAGAAUUUGCAGAAAGUGCCGUUCAUGCUGGAGUAAUCCCUCCCUUAGUUGAACUUUUGAGGGGGAGGUUAACUUGGGUUGAACAGAGAGUCGCUGUGCGAGCUCUGGGACACCUGGCUACAUAUGCCAGCACUUUUCCUGCAUUGGCUAGUCAUGGUGAAAUACUUGAGCUUUCCAUUCAGCUUGCAAUGAGUUCGUUAGAAAUUGUUUAUUCCCAUUUUUACCAGUAUGUUGACAGAAGGCUGAGUUAUCACUGUGAUCUGCUAACACGUGGCAUGGGUGGCGUUGAAAUGGAGUCCAGGAAGGCAGAGGAAUGGGCUAGUCAGUUGCAGUGCUGGUCCCUUCAGCUUAUUAAUUGCUUUGCUUUCAAACCCGAGUUUCUUUCUAUUAUAUGCAAGCCCGAAUUUUUAAUAAAACUACCGGGCAUGUGGGGUGGACUUGUUAAUGAAAAUUCACCAGCUGGUAUUGGUUUAUUGCGGACAAUUUGUCAUCAUAAGCUUGGCAGAGGGCCAGUCGCUAGCUGUCCUGGUAUCAUUGAAGCAUUGUGUAAUAUUGCCCGCUCGUCAGAUGAUUGGCAGUAUAUGGCUAUAGACUGUCUUCUGUGGUUGCUCCAGGAUCCUAGCACUUGUCAUAAGGUGAUUGACAAGGCUGUAAGUGCACUGGUAGACCUCUCGGAGAUCUCAACUCUGGGAGAUCACAAAAAGCUUGGGGAUUCCAUCGUUAAUGUUCUUCAGGAAUGUAUCCAAUCACAAGGGACGGGGCGGAACGCUUUGAGUAAUCGCACAAAGGAACAGAUUGAGGAACUAUUAAAUUCAAGACAGAGAUUGAAGUGGGAAAAGAGUAUGCCAAAGGAGGACCUCCAUAUCAAGCAGGCAGCAGCACUGGUGGUCAAGCUUGAAGGAAAUUCCCUGUUCUCGUCUGGAAACAUAUCUGGAGCUGCAUCAAAGUACUCUGAAGCAUUAGCACUGUGUCCGAUGAGAUCAAAAAAAGAGAGAGUUGUACUGUACAGUAAUCGAGCUCAGUGUCAUCUUCUGUUGCAACAACCAUUGACUGCCAUUAGUGAUGCUACACGUGCCCUUUGUCUUCACAACCCUCUUAACCGUCAUGCCAAAAGCCUUUGGAGAAGAGCACAGGCAUAUGACAUGCUAGGGUUAGCUAAAGAGAGUUUGUUAGAUGCCAUUCUGUUCAUAAAUGAGUGCUCUCAAUCAAGUGAUCCUGAUCUGUCCUUGAGGCAAAAUAAGGUUCCUGACUAUGCUGAAAGAUUAGUCAAGAAGCAGAUGCGUGCUGCCUGGUUAUUUAGAGAAGCAGCAAUUAAACAUGGGGGUGUUCAUUGUGAAGGUGAUGCAGGGGACAUAUAUGGCCAUGAGACUGAUGAUUCAGAAUGGGAGACAGCAAGUGAAAGUGAUAUUGGGAAUGAUGGACGGGAUGAGAUGGGGGACGAUGAUUGUGAAUGGAAAAAUGAAGAUGACAGGAAAGACAAGUAUGAUAAACCUUCAAUGAAAGCAGAUGAAAGGUAGAAACAUGGAUGGAUAUGAGAACACAGGAUCGCAUAAGGUGAUUUAGGUUUUUUGUGAUCAGAAUGAUAUGAAGCAUGGAUACAAUGUGCAGCUUGCUGAAGAUGAACCAUGAGGUUUGGGUAAUAUGGACCAUUUGUUAAGAUGUAAAGACAGAGCAGAAACGUGAUUGAAGCAGCCUUAAGUUAUGUGAUUGCUUAACACCUCUAGUUUCUUUGAGUUUACAGCAGGAAAUGCAUGUCAAUGGGCAGGUUGGAAGAAAAACAUGUCCAUGGUCAAAGUGUUUAAGACUAAAAUUCGUUUUAUAUGUUUCUCUUUUAGUUCCCCUUUUCUUUGGUGUUCAACUGUAACAAUAGAAAAAAAGAAAAAGAAAAAAAAGAAGAAGAUGAAGAUACCGAGUCUAGAUUGUAAAAACCUUUUUGGAGUGAUUUUAGAGGCUUGUGUAUAUAAGACCCAUAGGGGGUCUGUUUUUGUGCUCUGAACUUUAUUUAUACAUUGAAAUGAUAAUUAUGAUUUUGUUUCGCAAUCUUUGUUUCUGCUUCCGCUGCCUUCGGUUUAUGGCACUGAAUACUGUGAUGGCUCUUUUUGGAGCUGCUGCUUGGUUUUACUGCCUAUGGCCCUGUAUUAGAAAGCUCAAGUGGAUAAAGAGAUUGGAUAUGGCUUUCUACAGAAGUUAGUGUUUCCAAAUUUGUUUCCAUUGACCACAGUAUGUAACUCUCUUUAUUUGUAGAAUUCUGAGGUAUCUGGAUUAUUUAUUUUCUUAUUCUGUUCAUGUAAAA